GGUAAGGUGGCCGAAGCAGGUGCCGAGUUGUAGCCUCGGUUAUAAAGGCUAACCCUUUUCUUACCA
Molecule: transfer RNA, 66 nt
Filed under: Eurycea bislineata (two-lined salamander)
Lineage: Eukaryota; Metazoa; Chordata; Amphibia; Caudata; Plethodontidae
Also listed under: 1 other name
Description: tRNA-Tyr
Source: RNAcentral